AUGUUGGGUGAUGCAAUUGAUAAGAUAUGCAAACAAAAGUCGAAGGAUGGUAACUAUAUGAGUUCUUUCAUAAUCUGCAUUUUUAUUAGCUGAUGAUAGAUGUUAGCUGAUGGGAAUUGGUGAGAUUUUGUGAUGUUUGAGAUCACUAGAAAACACGAUUCUAUGUUCGUUUAUGGCUCCAUGGACUCUAGCGAGGUAUAAGAUCCCUUGACGGUUGUACAUCUUGGUAAUUGAUAGUAACCUUCAGACAUUUAUUGCACGCUUGUACACGGUUUGAGCUCUGUGAUACACUGUAGUAUUACAUCCUGGAGAAGGUAUCCCUGAGCUAUCUCAUGAAGUAUCAAGCAUUUACAUCUGGUGCUUAACUCAAAACCCUGAAUGUUGCAAGCAAUGGGAAAGUUCGAAGUUAUUUUUUUUUUAUAAAUC
Molecule: long non-coding RNA, 426 nt
Filed under: Helianthus annuus (common sunflower)
Lineage: Eukaryota; Viridiplantae; Streptophyta; Magnoliopsida; Asterales; Asteraceae
Description: sRNA HanXRQr2_Chr11g0488581
Source: RNAcentral